AUUAUGGCUCAGGAUGAACGCUGGCGGCGUGCCUAACACAUGCAAGUCGAACGGAGUCAUAAAGCGGAAGUUUCGGAUGGAAGAAUUAUGACUUAGUGGCGGACGGGUGAGUAACGCGUGGGUAACCUGCCUUGUACCGGGGGAUAACACUUAGAAAUAGGUGCUAAUACCGCAUAAGCGCACAGCUUCGCAUGGAGCAGUGUGAAAAACUCCGGUGGUACAAGAUGGACCCGCGUCUGAUUAGCUAGUUGGUGGGGUAGUGGCCCACCAAGGCGACGAUCAGUAGCCGGCCUGAGAGGGUGAUCGGCCACAUUGGGACUGAGACACGGCCCAAACUCCUACGGGAGGCAGCAGUGGGGAAUAUUGCACAAUGGGGGAAACCCUGAUGCAGCGACGCCGCGUGAGUGAAGACGUAUUUCGGUAUGUAAAGCUCUAUCAGCAGGGAAGAAAAUGACGGUACCUGACUAAGAAGCCCCGGCUAACUACGUGCCAGCAGCCGC
This 500-nucleotide ribosomal RNA is filed under the name uncultured bacterium. Its description in RNAcentral is "bacterial SSU rRNA". It matches the Rfam family "Bacterial small subunit ribosomal RNA", at positions 16 to 518 of the family's 1533-position model. The record is from RNAcentral.